GAUCAACUAAGUACAGAAACAUGAGAAUAAGUAAGAACAAAGUUCGUCCUCUCUCUUUGACUCAUAAAAAAGUACCUUCAAUGGUGUUUCUCUAAAUUAGAUGUCAAGUGGUACAUAUAUAUAGAUGCUUAUCAAAGCUUAUUACAGAACUACAGCCACCCAGAAGCAUUAGUGAAGAGAAGCCGAGUACAAUUACAGCGUUUGCUAAAAGAAGACAAUCAUUAAAAAAUUAAAUGUUUCGGUCCUUUUAAUCACAAAAUAAAAGAAAUGAUAGCAUAUACAUCAAGUGUUUUGCAUUAAGCUUAAGGGGGUAGGAUCGUCUGCUAUCACAGUUUCUCAAUGCUAACAAUUAACAACCAACAUUCCAAACUUUGAAGCUCAAACCAAAUAAUAAUAAUAAUAA
This 403-nucleotide unclassified non-coding RNA is filed under the name Hevea brasiliensis (rubber tree). Lineage: Eukaryota; Viridiplantae; Streptophyta; Magnoliopsida; Malpighiales; Euphorbiaceae. The record is from RNAcentral.